Ipomoea triloba (trilobed morning glory) is the source of this 3127-nucleotide RNA transcript. It is a transcript of the gene named serine/threonine-protein kinase ATG1c, with no coding region annotated. Lineage: Eukaryota; Viridiplantae; Streptophyta; Magnoliopsida; Solanales; Convolvulaceae. The record is from RefSeq and is a predicted model, not a curated record. The transcript has 14 exons.
GCACAAAGCAAUCACCCGAGACUCUAAACAGUGGAUUUCUAUUAUUCUCCCCCAUGGCCACCAUUAUUAUUAAAUUUAUUGUCUAAUCUCAAUCAUUUUAAACGUAAACACCUUCGUCAAUCUCUUAAACCUCACCUUAAUCUCUUCUCCAUAUCCGUACAGCUCAUCCACCGGAAAAAUUAAAAUUAAAAAAAAAAAAGUAAAAACAAAAAAAGAAAUCUUCGCUUUCGUGUUCCUUUGUCUUAGCUGAGAAUUUGUCCUUGGAUAAGGUUCUGUUGCAUUGCUCGGAAUUCUUAGGGUUUGGCUUUGGGGGAUGGCUCAAUCGAUGGACAGCAGAGGUGGUGGAAGUGGAAGGUUCAUGGUGGGUGAUUAUUUGGUUGGGAAGCAGGUAGGGACGGGGUCGUACUCGACGGUGUGGCACGCGCGGCACCGAGACCACGGCACCGAGGUGGCCAUCAAGGAGAUCGUCACAGCUCGGCUUAACUCCAAGCUCCAAGAGAGCCUCAUGUCUGAGAUUGUUAUCCUCCGGAAGAUCAAUCAUCCUAACAUUAUCCACCUGCACGACAUGAUCCAGGAACCUGGAAAGAUUUAUAUAGUGUUGGAGUACUGUAGAGGAGGUGAUCUUUCAAUCUACAUCCAACAACGCAAUGGGAGAAUCCCAGAAGCAACUGCAAAACAUUUUAUGCAGCAGCUAGCAUCGGGCUUAAAAGUUCUUCGUGAGAACAACUUAAUACAUCGGGACUUAAAACCACAGAAUCUCCUCUUAUCAGUAAAUGAUGACAAUGCUGUUUUAAAGAUUGCUGAUUUUGGAUUUGCAAGGUCUUUGCAACCUAGGGGCCUUGCAGAAACCUUAUGUGGUUCACCACUAUACAUGGCUCCUGAAAUUAUGCAACUCCAGAAAUAUGAUGCAAAGGCAGAUCUCUGGAGUGUUGGUGCCAUUCUGUUUCAGCUUGUAACUGGCAAAACCCCAUUUAUAGGAAAUGACCAAUUACAGUUGCUUCAGAACAUAGUGAAAUCAACUGGAUUGCAAUUCCCUUCCAAUGCAAAGGAUUUAAGUGAUGAGUGCAGAGAUUUAUGCCGAAAAUUGUUGCGCCGUAAUCCUGUGGAGCGGUUGACAUUUGAGGAGUUCUUUAACCACCCAUUUCUUGCAACAAGGCAACCGGAUGAACUGUCUAGGAUUUGGAGACCACAGAGGAAGAUAGAUGGUUUUCCUCUGUCAAGCUGCACUCCUGCAAGUGCAGAUGAAAGUCAAGAAGAUUGUCUACCAUUCAGACUUGAUGAUGAUUCAAGUGGUACUGACAACAGUCAAUCUGUCACUGGGAGAUUACUACAAAGACCUCCAUAUGGAUAUCCUAUUAAUGCUUUCAAUGUUCCCAAGCUACCAGACCCAACCUUCGAUGGCAGUGGUGGUGAUUGCAAACGAGAGAGCACUGCAUUUAGUGUUGGCAAUUGUCAACUUUCAGAAGGAAACCUGAAAGAAUCUCGUAGUUCCAUUGAACAUAGGCCAGCAGCAAGUAAUCCAGAAGUGAUAAAUUCACUGGAGUUGAUUGAUCAAGGUUAUGUCAUUGUUUCUGCCCCCCCUGUGGAUUCUUCUUCAUCAACAGGUGCUUCUAAGCUUAGCAAUAUGCCAUUGGUAUCAGGCUGUUCCCCACAAGCUCCAAGGAAUGCGUACUCCAGGCCAAGUGCCCCGAUGCCCAUUAUGGGACCUGCAACCCAUGAAGUAGGCUGUGUAGGAAGUCUUGAUAGCCACACAUCUGCUCAUGGUACAUCACAAGGAUCAGUGGAUAUAGCUGACACCUUGGAGCAACCAUCAACUGAUUGCAUGAGGAGGAUUGAGUCAUUGCAAUGUUGUGCUUCUGCUAUCACAGAAUUAGUAAAUGAGAAGUCUGAGGCAGGCAAACAUCUGGAAGCAUUCUCAAUUCAGCUUGUCAUUCUUGCAAUAUGGAAGCAAGCUUUGCAUAUUUGUCAUACUCAAGCAGCAUCAGCAGUUGAAGGAAGUCCAACACAACAUGCUACUACACUGCGGGAAACUAUGAAGAGGGGUCAAGGUUGUCUCAACGUACACAAUCCUGUUGAUGCUUCUAACACUUUGGGGCCACAGGAUGUCUGCUCUCAUAUUCAAAGGUCAUUCCUCAGUGAAGUUCAGAAUGCUGAGGAACUUUCCAAAUUUGUAGAGCCUGGAAAUACUGAAGUGCCAGAUGCAAUGGAGUUGAUAUUCCAAUCUGCCCUAGCAAUGGGAAGGAAGGGGGCUGUUGACGAAUACAUGGGGCGGACAGAAAAUGCAGUAGUAUUUUAUUCAAAAGCAGUGCAGUUAUUAGCAUUCCUUCAAGUGGAAGCACCGUCUCUCAUUUUAAAUCCCCCGUUCUCUCUGACAAACACAGAUCGGUAUAGGCUUCAGAAUUACAUAGACGUUCUUAAAAACAGGAAAAGCGUUUCGAGAUCCCAAAUGAUGGCUCUGCUCAAGUGCGAGGACCAACAUUGCUCCCCAUGAAGACAAAGGUUUCAACUAAUUCAUACUAACUGGUGAUAGCAUGUCAUGUUAUAGUCUAGUCUGCAAAAUUAUUUAUUAUGUACAGUUAAUUCUUUUAUGUUGUUCCUGCUCCUGAAGGAAAUUGAAAUCCACUGGACUGGAACAAUAUAUACUUGAUUAACAUGGAGGCUGAAGCCUUCAGAAUUCUACCAGAAUCAAGUUGUGGCCUGUGGCAUUGCCUCUUGGUGAAGGCAUCCGAAUCAUAGCUGCGAAGAUAAAGAUGAAGACACAAGCUGACAACGUUGACAAUGUGCACCGCACAAUAUGAUCGGAGAGACUGUUUUUUUGUCUCCAUCUGAAGAAAUAACUGAAUGGGAAUGAAUUUGUUCAGAUCACAUCACAUUCUCUGUGAGACAGGUCGAAUUAAUAUAAUUUGUGUCAUAAAAUUUAACUAAAGACUAAUUCAUAAUACUAAUUAUGACCCAAAUUAUGUUGAUCUGAUCUGUCUAACGUAUUAAGACCCGUAAGAUAAUUUCACACAAAUUAUAUUGAUCCGACCUGAUAGUCUCACACAAGUUUUUACCAUUUGUUCAAGUAAUGUAAUGCCAGUAAUUGCAAAAUAGCAAAGUCAGAAUGGUAAUGCCAGUAAUUCCAAAA